RNAcentral lists this ribosomal RNA (253 nucleotides) under uncultured bacterium. Its description in RNAcentral is "partial 16S ribosomal RNA". It matches the Rfam family "Bacterial small subunit ribosomal RNA", at positions 524 to 776 of the family's 1533-position model. The record is from RNAcentral.
UACGUAGGUGACAAGCGUUAUCCGGAUUUACUGGGCGUAAAGGGAGCGUAGGCGGAUAAUUAAGUGGGAUGUGAAAUACCCGGGCUUAACCUGGGUGCUGCAUUCCAAACUGAUUAUCUAGAGUGCAGGAGAGGAGAGUGGAAUUCCUAGUGUAGCGGUGAAAUGCGUAGAGAUUAGGAAGAACACCAGUGGCGAAGGCGACUCUCUGGACUGUAACUGACGCUGAGGCUCGAAAGCGUGGGGAGCAAACAGG